ACCGUCAUGCUCCCCACCACCACGGUGCCCAGAGGUCAUGCCAGMUUCCUUGCCCCCAUUGGCUGGUGGGAGCCUGACUGUGCUUCAUGUGGUGAAGCAGGUGCCAUGGACCGUGGAGGAGGCAUUGGAACUGAAGGAGUGGACAGAGCGAGGGGAAGAGGACAGAAGCCUCCCCCUGCCCCGGGGCUGAGGAUGAAGAUUCAGAUCCUGGAUGCCUGGACUGGCAGGAAAUGCCCAGCUCAGGGUCUUCUAGCCUCACAUGUGACGGCAGAGAGUUGGCAUCGAAGCCCUCCCCACUGUGAUCCUGCCUUUGGUUCUGCAGACUGCUGUUAGCCCCUGGCUUUGCCCCAGGCCCUGGGGAAGGCAGUCCCCCAKGGGGUGCUUGGCCAACUCCACAGGACUCAGGAGGCCAGCCUAGUGUCCAGAGAACAAACCAUCCUUGGACAGCCUCUGGACUCAUCUCAAGGAGRGGGAGAUGCUGGGCCUGAGGCCCAUACCUGGGGGUCUCCUGCUGCUUAGGUCCUUUUGGGACCCCCACCCUCCAGGCCCUCUCUUUGCACACUUCUUCCUCCACCUCUACCCAUCUUCACCCCACUGUGGUGCUAGGCCUGGAGGUGGUGGGGGUGGGGUGGGGGUUUGGCCAUUACCAUUUCAUGCGUAUUUGGAAAUGAAGAUGUCCCACAAAGGGUAAUAACCACACUGUUUGCUGAGUGAAUUCUUUGCCCACAAAGACCCAGAGCUUGGAAGGUCUCUGCCUCCACCACACUUUCCCAAUCCAUAAUCCAUUUAGAAAUCUCUAGCCUGGUAGUUGACAUGCCUUAGUGGCUCUAGGAAUAAGGGGCCUCAGUGUGACUGAGAGAUGUUAUCUAAUUCUGAACCUAUAGAUGCUUCUUCUAUAGAAGGUUACCUUGCCCCUUCCAUCCUGGAAGAUGGCUCAGAUUUCUGGGCAGAACUUAACCCCUUGCCCUUUACACCCUCAGGUUUAUGCAUCUAUACAGUAAGUGAGUGUUCCUUGUUGGGUGGCUUAAAAGAAAUAAUUUCAACAUGGGGGACACUGAAAUGCAAGUAGCUGCCCUGAGAGAUACAGAAUUGCUAGUUAAGUCACCCCCUCCCCUGCACCAAUGCUCUCCACAUUAUAGCCAACAGUCUACUCUUCUUCCUUUCCUCCAUCUUUCAUCAUGUCUGACCUUCUGGGGUGGAACAGUGGCCUACUCCAGAGCCUCUGGAAGGAGCAAGAAGGCUGAGUGACCCCCUUCAACACUGUGAAGUCUUUKCUAACCUCUUUGUGCUUCCAACCUGUUUUGUUUUCCUUCAGAUUUCCUCUAUCUGCCAA
RNAcentral lists this long non-coding RNA (1333 nucleotides) under Urocitellus parryii (Arctic ground squirrel). RNAcentral describes it as "lncRNA (ENSUPAG00010009085.1)". Lineage: Eukaryota; Metazoa; Chordata; Mammalia; Rodentia; Sciuridae. The record is from RNAcentral.